RNAcentral lists this small RNA (858 nucleotides) under Pan troglodytes (chimpanzee). RNAcentral's name for it is "retained intron". Lineage: Eukaryota; Metazoa; Chordata; Mammalia; Primates; Hominidae. The record is from RNAcentral.
CCCCAGGGCUGGUGCUGGUCACCGAUGCCAUCCCUGCCUUGGGCCUGGGCAACGGCCGGCACACGCUGGGACAGCAGGAAGUGGAAGUGGAUGGUCUGACGGCCUACGUGGCAGGUGAGCGCCCUGACCCACUGGGUCCCAGGUCCCAGCCCGCAUGCCAGGUGGCCCACGACCCCCCCAGAGCCUGCCCUCUCUGCUCUCAAGGCACCAAGACGCUGAGUGGCAGCAUAGCCCCAAUGGACGUCUGUGUCCGGCACUUCCUGCAGGCCACAGGUCAGUGAGCAGCACGGGUGCGGGUUUAGGUGGUCUGUGAGUGGCGGGUCCCCAGGGGCUGGACCGGGUGCCCGGACUGUAGCCCAAGCUCUGCCCACAGGAGCUCCUGGGCAUUGGGUACUUGGUGACUCAGGCCCAGGGUGACAGGCAGACCAGCAGGGUCCUUGUUAGCCUGCUGCAGAGUCCCUGAGACAGGGAGUGCUGGUGUGGUGGGGGGCUGCUGGCAAAGCCAUGUGGGCUUGGGGACCGUCACCCAGCUGUGUCCCCCAAGCAGGCUGCAGCGUGGAGUCGGCCCUGGAGGCUGCAUCCCUGCACCCCGCCCAGUUGCUGGGGCUGGAGAAGAGUAAAGGGACCCUGGACUUUGGUGCUGACGCAGACUUCGUGGUGCUCGACGACUCCCUUCACGUCCAGGCCACCUACAUCUCGGGUGAGCUGGUGUGGCAGGCGGAUGCAGCUAGGCAGUGACAAGGACCUCGGCUGAGAGGACACCUGGCCGCAGCGGGAUGCCAUCAGGGCCGGGUGGUUGGGGAGCUGGUCUCCAGGGAGUGAGUUGGGAGCCCUGCUGGAAUGAUGCCCAGGGCCUGU